UACGUAGGGUGCAAGCGUUGUCCGGAUUUAUUGGGUUUAAAGGGUCCGUAGGCGGUUUUGUAAGUCAGUGGUGAAAGCCCAUCGCUCAACGGUGGAACGGCCAUUGAUACUGCAAGACUUGAAUUAUUGUGAAGUAACUAGAAUAUGUAGUGUAGCGGUGAAAUGCUUAGAGAUUACAUGGAAUACCAAUUGCGAAGGCAGGUUACUAACAAUAUAUUGACGCUGAUGGACGAAAGCGUGGGUAGCGAACAGG
RNAcentral lists this ribosomal RNA (253 nucleotides) under uncultured bacterium. Its description in RNAcentral is "partial 16S ribosomal RNA". It matches the Rfam family "Bacterial small subunit ribosomal RNA", at positions 524 to 776 of the family's 1533-position model. The record is from RNAcentral.